UAGGAGGGGGGGAAAACAAUCAGGAGCAUCUCUCUGAGCAGCCCUUUCCAACAAAAUCAAAACGGGGACUAGCGAGCCACAGAGCGGCCCGGACGUCCCUGCGGGGAGGCCCGCGGGCUGGGGACCUCGCGCGUCACCUGGCCCGGCGGCGCGGCCAGCGGCAGGGUUUCUUUUCUUUGAAUUUUUGGAAGUUAAGGCUGACCCUCGGCUUCAGUGCUUUUGCCAACGUCUCCUCCACUGACAGGAACCAGCAAACUUCGAGACUCAAAUGAGCGUCUUAAUUUAUUGACGCAGAGCAGGUCUGCCGGGGGCCCGGUCCUCGGCGCGCCCGGCCCCGCACGCCCCCAGCCUCGGCCCUCCAUUUGAUCUCUGGUUCCUGUUUGGAGGAAGACUGUUUUUAAGACAAGAGAAUGCGGGUGUCUGCUCUCCUCUACUAGGACCUACAUCAGCGUUAAGACGAUUGGGAACAAAGGCCGUGAUUCCUGCCCAUGCCCUCCCUGCACCACAAACCCUGGGUCAGUUAGGACAGAGGAGGAGCCAGAAACACGAAAGCUUCACAUGUGAGAUAAAUGCACUCAAAGACGCCUCGCAAGUAGCUCUGGCGCUUCGGAUGUAAAAUGGAUCACUCCUCAAUCUGUAAUAGACCCUUCCGUGGAGCUCUUCAAUCAAACCUCAGAAUUCAAGGCGUUUUGUAGCAUCCUAAACAGAAGGAUAUUGAAGGGAGCUGAUUCUGCUUUGAUCCUUGUGCUUGUUGUCAAAGCGCUUGGGAUUGAAGAGACUGUUGGCUACAAUUGACUGUGACAAUUAGGAGAUGAUCAGAGUCCUAGAGUGGAGCACUUAAAGGGUAAUUUACAUGUCAGUUUGUCGAAUAAAAAAAAAAAAGAUAUUCAGCUAAGGUUUUUUUUCCCCCUCCAGCCUUGUAAACUGCAAUUUGUGCUCUGGUUAGAAAAACCUGGCAGAGGAGUUAGGAUAGCCAUUACCAUUUGAAAAGAAGCAAUCAUAAGGCCGCUGCUGAGCCCUUUGUCCACUAAAAAUGCUGAUUUGCAGGCGGUGAGUGAAAAAGUGGAACUGUCACUAAAUAAAACCUUGAGCUAGGUAACUACCUCCCUCCCACCCCAUGGUGGCUUUUUUGAUGUUUGUUAAAGGUGCUUUAAAAAAAUGGAUCUUAAAUCCUACACUUACUAUCGUUGUAACAUUGUUAUUGGUUAUGAAUGACCUUUCCUAAAAAAAUAAUAAAAGGAUGCAUUGAGGAAGCGGUAGGUGGAACGCACGCCAGCAGUCAAUGGAAAGGGCUAAAGCUGGCUACCAGAUGUAUCUUAUUCGUUUCCCUUUUGUACAUCAUCACAAUUUUCCUCUAGUCCAUCCUGUGUGCCGCGCUAUUUCUCCCCUACUGUAUCAGUGUGCCCCUAGGCUUUUCCGUUUUCUUUACACUCCAAUUUUAAAGUGGGAACUGUAUUUCUAACCUUUGCAUGUUUAGCCUAUUUGAGUGCAGUUGGCUAAGUUCUUUCCAGUUAUUAUGAAUAAAAGUGCUAUGUAUACUACAA
This is a long non-coding RNA of Myotis daubentonii (Daubenton's bat), 1544 nucleotides long. RefSeq lists it as uncharacterized. The record is from RefSeq and is a predicted model, not a curated record. Lineage: Eukaryota; Metazoa; Chordata; Mammalia; Chiroptera; Vespertilionidae. The transcript is spliced from 5 exons.